AGCUGAGCACAGCCUUCAUGCAAAGCCAAAACAAUUGAGCGACCACCACUCGAAUAACUUGACGGCUAAACGGUAAUCCGGAAUUUGUCUUGAAAUGUCAAGUAACGAUUACACAAACAAUUAUCGUACCACCCAAAAACGGGAAUCAUACGGUAAAUUCGUCAUAACAAAACUCAGUCCUAACAACCAAACAGUUAACGGAAAUGUUCCACUUGUCAAAAAUCGACCAAGUUCCAUAUACUACGAUUCACUUUAAGCCCGCUGUGUUUUACUCGUAAAAUGCGGCAUGUAAGGAAAACUCAUUACAGAGCUCCUAUAGCUAUACGGAACAUCCUCAAAUAGAC
RNAcentral lists this long non-coding RNA (344 nucleotides) under Brassica napus (rape). RNAcentral describes it as "long non-coding RNA (BNAP_LNC024610)". The record is from RNAcentral. Lineage: Eukaryota; Viridiplantae; Streptophyta; Magnoliopsida; Brassicales; Brassicaceae.